GCCGGGUGUGGUGGCUCACGCCUGUAAUCCCAGCACUUUGGGAGGCCGAGACGGGUGGAUCACUUGAGGCCAGGAGUUCAAAACCAGCCUGUCCAACAUGGUGAAACCCCGUCUCUA
Molecule: small RNA, 117 nt
Filed under: Callithrix jacchus (white-tufted-ear marmoset)
Lineage: Eukaryota; Metazoa; Chordata; Mammalia; Primates; Cebidae
Description: Metazoan signal recognition particle RNA (ENSCJAG00000074482.1)
Source: Rfam by way of RNAcentral